RNAcentral lists this ribosomal RNA (320 nucleotides) under uncultured eukaryote. Its description in RNAcentral is "partial 18S ribosomal RNA". It matches the Rfam family "Eukaryotic small subunit ribosomal RNA", at positions 1470 to 1796 of the family's 1831-position model. The record is from RNAcentral.
CCCUUAGAUGUUCUGGGCCGCACGCGCGCUACACUGAACAGUUCAACAAGUCUUAACCUUGGCCGAUAGGUCUGGGUAAUCUUUGAACGCUGUUCGUGAUUGGGAUAGACCUUUGCAAUUAUGGGUCUUCAACGAGGAAUUCCUAGUAAACGCAAGUCAUCAGCUUGCAUUGAUUACGUCCCUGCCCUUUGUACACACCGCCCGUCGCACCUACCGAUUGAAUGGUCCGGUGAAAUCUCGGGACGGCGGCUUGGUCGCUUGCGUCCGACUGCUGAAACUUGAUUAAACCAUAUUAUUUAGAGGAAGGUGAANUCGUANCA